RNAcentral lists this ribosomal RNA (488 nucleotides) under uncultured bacterium. Its description in RNAcentral is "bacterial SSU rRNA". It matches the Rfam family "Bacterial small subunit ribosomal RNA", at positions 32 to 507 of the family's 1533-position model. The record is from RNAcentral.
GACAACGCUGGCGGCGUGGAUUAGGCAUGCAAGUCGAACGGUAGGAUACCUUCGGGUAUCUGAGAGUGGCGAACGGGUGAGUAACACGUAGGUGAUCUACCCUCAAGAUUGGGACAACCCAGGGAAACUUGGGCUAAUACCGGAUGAAAGCAGCAGUGAUGUUGUUUGAAAGGUGGCGUAAGCUGCCGUUUGGGGAUGAGCCUGCGCUCUAUUAGUUAGUUGGCGGGGUAAAGCCCGGACCAAGGCGAUGAUAGAUAGGCGGCCUUAACGGGUGGUCGCCCACACUGGGAUUGAGAUACGGCCCAGACUCCUACGGGAGGCAGCAGUCGAGAAUAGUCUACAAUGGCCGAAAGGCUGAUAGUGCGACGCCGCGUGAACGAAGAAGCCCUUCGGGGUGUAAAGUUCUUUUAUAUGUGAGCAGUGCUUUCUAUGUGAACAGCAUGGGGAGAGAGAUAUUAGCAUAUGAAUAAGCAACGGCUAACUCCGUG